GCAUUAAUGGAUUAUUAUGAUUUAUAUAUUUAUAUAGUGGGUUUUAGUGAAUACACGUAAAUACAAAUAAAAAUAAUUCUUCACACAAGUUCAACACAAAAGGUUCCUGGAAAAGGUUUAAUAAAGUAAAGUGAAUGUAAUCAGUAUGUUUGGUGUAAUGUCAGAUCUUUGUGUGGAUUAGAUCAGAAGUGAUAAAGACUCAAACGUGUUCAGCGGUGUUCCUGUAUUAUUAUUAUUAUUAUUAUUAUUAUUAUUAUUAUUAUUACUGCACGUUGAUACAGUUUCUUCACACACUUCCAGCCUGUUCCUCUGUUUAACACACACACACAUACACACACAUACACAAACAAACACAAACAUACACAUACACAAACAUAUAUAUACACAUACACACACACUCACACAUACACAAACACACACACACACAUAUACACACACACAUACACAAACAUAUAUAUACACAUACACUCACCCACAUACACAAACAUACACACACACACACACACACACACACAUAUACACACACACAUACACAAAGAUAUAUACACACACAUACACAAACACGCGCACACACACAAGGUUCACGGUAAAGGUUUAGACCCUACACAAAUAAUAAUAAUAAUAAUAAUAAUAAUAAUAAUAAUAAUAAUAAUAAUAAAACUCCAACAUAAAGUUUUAGUGAAACUCCGGCGGGAAGUUUCUUUCUUUCUUUCUUUCUUUCUUUCUUUCUUCACCUUUUCUUUCUUUUUUCUUUUUUGUCUUUUUGCUCUCAUGACAAAUAAAAAAUGGCGGUCAGUGCACUGUCUUUCCGAAGUUUGUUCUCUCGGUCAAAACUGGAGUCAAAAACAAACAAAAAAAGAACAAACAAAAAUAAUAAUUUAAUUUAAAAAAAACAACAAAAAAACAAAAACAAAACAAAAAAAACGACUAAACACAAACCGCUCGCGCUGUUCCGCGGGUAAAUAAUACUGAUUAUUCUCCGCGCGCAUGAAUGGAGAAGGGGGAAAGAGAGACGGGGGGAAAAUACCGACACACGCACGCACGCACGCACACACACACACACACACACACGCACGCGUGAGUGUGUACAGAAGGAGAAAAUGCGGUGAAUGCGCGCGGAGUGAAGGAGUAAAGGGAAGAAUGAAGAUGGGAUGAAGGGAGGCAGAAGUGGAGGAGUGAAGGGAUGAAGGAGUGGAGGAGUGAAGGGGUGAAGGAGUGAAGGAGUGGAGGAGUGAAGGAGUGGAGGAGUGAAGGAGUGAAGUAGUGGAGGAGUGAAGUAGUGGAGGAGUGAAGUAGUGGAGGAGUGAAGCGGCUCGAACGCGCGUCGGCUCGCAGUCACUUACUUUUCUGUGUCCUGUGACAUGAUGAUGUCUUUUGGACUCCUCGCCGAUAAUUCCUGGAGAAACUGGACUUUCAGCAGCCCUGAUUCCAUUGGUCGAGGUGUGUAAGGAGGUCGGGCUGUGAUUGGCUGAGCCAGCACAGGUCCUGAAGGCCAGGAAGUGAAAUCACAGAGAAAUGAUACCAACUGAACGAAAUGUACGUCAUGUUUCCAUAAUAGUUUUCAUUUAAAUAUAUAUAUAUAUAUAUAUGUGUGAAUAUAUUAAUAGUUAACGCUCAAGGAGAGAAACAAGCAGUUUAAUAUCCGUGACUGUAUUAGUGAUUACUUUAGUAUUAUUUAUAGAAGUUAUUUGUAAUUCAUUGUUUCUUUAAUGUUUUUAGGAUUCACAUUUAAUCACAUUUAAAAAAAAAAAAAAAAAAAAUUCUUUCGAAUUGUUUUAAUUUCCCUCAAGUUUUAGACCAAACACUUUUCUCAGAGUUUUCCAGCUUUAUUCCUUUUUUUCUUCUUUUUUAGAAAUGUUCUUGUCUUUUCUUAGGUGCUUAACCUCACGGGGAAACAUAACACACGCCGAGGAAAGCGCUAUCUGCCUUCUUCCACACACACCAGCUAACAGAUCAUCACUGUGAUUGACAGGUGAGAGAGAGUAAGCCCCUCCCACCCACAGAGCAGGUCACACCUUUCCCUCUCUCACCUUUUUUGAAGUUGAAGUUAAAGUCACAAGUUCGAAUCCUGAAGAUGUCACAUGGCCGGAAGGCAAGAGACCGAAACCGGCGGUGUUUUCUGGGUGGGAGGGGCUUACUCUCCCACGCCCCUGUCAAUCACAGCGACACGAGCCAAUCACAGGCAUCUGUGAGCUGGAGUAUGAGGAAGAGGACGAGAAGAGGAUACUGUAGACAGUGCCUUCCUGCGAGUUUAGAGUUCUUACUCUGUACUUCAUCGAGUUAAUCCACUCUUUUCGUUUAGAAUUUCACAGAUUUAUGAAUUUAAACGUUCACCUCUUUAAAAAUGUUUUGUUUUUCACGCUUUUAAGAAGGUUCCCUCCCGUUUUAAAGUCUUUUUAGAAGUGAUUUCUGCAGAUUUUUAAUCUCUGAUUAACACGGAACACCCACACCACCACCAUUCCCUCAACUCGUCCAAUCACUCGCCUGCAGUAACCACUUCAUCCUGUAUUCGUAAAUAUUUAUCAUAUGUGCGGCCAAUUUCAAGACAACUACCUCAGCGUACUGUUGCACGGCACAAAUACGCAAUAUUUCUAUACUUUUUUAAAAAUAUUUCCCUUUUUCUAGUCGUAUGGAAGUAAUUGUGGUCUGUGUAAACUGUAUUUUAUGUCACGGACAGUCGUAAAAAGCCGUACUGUGUACGCUUGUGUGCGUGACGGUCGAAGGAUUGAGGUAAAAGUAGAUUUGGGAUCGAGUCGUCAGCGAUCAGCGACGGGCAGCCCUGAGACCCGACACACACGGGGUUUAUCCUGCGCCGCUCGGCGGGAAGCGAGUUUGAUGUGCAGGUGAGCGAGGCUGAAAGGACAGCGUGAUGUCAUGGAGUUGAUUCCGUUGCCGCUUGUGCAACUCGUCGUGAUGUGACUUGCCCUCCACUUAACUGUCAGCGUUAUUUCCCAGAAAUUAGCGAGGGCCGAGUGCCAUUCUCCCACGGUGCUGAGCUGAGAAAGCUUCCACGGAUCAGGCACGGACACGCCGCCAGACCUGACCAGGUAAACCUAACGCCUUCGACACGACACGACCGACACCUCGGGGUUCUACUGAUCCACUCCUGUACCACACACUGGUCUCCUUUCUGAGCUCUCGCUCAUCCCAUGUACGAUCAGACCCGUCACACCUGCUCCGCCCUCCGUUCUCCGUCGGGUUUCAGCCAGGCUCCAUCGGAGAACCCUUUUAAGUUGCACAAGGAACCUUUUACUCUCAAGUUCUUUAGAGAACCUUCUAUUUACUGGUGCUUUAAAGAACCCUGUAAAGAUAUUUCUUCACAGCAGUGCCACAAGCAAACAUGUUAUCAUCGGUUCUCUAACAAAACAAAAAAAACCCUUGGUUAGUGCUUUAAGGAAGCAAAGUAAGGCUCUUAAGAGUGCUGCCUGAGAGGAGAACCUUUUCCAGUCCCACAAAGAACCCUAUAGAGUAUGGUUCAUGUUAAUGUGUUAAGCGAUGAUACCUUGAAGAUCCAAUACACUGCUCUGAAGAUCCUAUAACGAAACAUAACGAACCUCUUUAAUCUCCACGGAGCCGUACAGCUCAGCUCAGGAGCCCUGCAGUGAAAGAUGGUUCCCAUGGUGCUGUAAAGACCCAGAGAAGAGCCUUUAUUUUUAAGAGUGUGAGCUACGUGUGGUGCUAGACAGCUGUUUUAGCUACUUAAUGAAUAUUAACGAACAUUAUCACACACUCGUCGUAAUACGUUAUCGUCGCUAUAGUAACAGUUCAUUCACAGGAACAGCGGUGUACGGCUGCUGUAACGUAAGAGAGAACAGGAACUCACUUUAAAGGUUAAACUUUAAAGGAAAUCUAAUAGGAAAACUGUUUUCUGGUCCGGAAUGCUUGUUUGUGUGUAGGUCCUGGGGGCGGAGCUUUGUGAUCAUGGGCGGGAAUAGGUGGGGGUGUGUGUGGUUUCAAGAAGUUUAAAAAAAAUAUAUUUCAAACAUUUUAACUAAACGGUUAGAGAGCUAAACAUGUGGUAUAAAAUGGACUAAUCUUACCUAGUACACCUUUAAAUGUAACUAUAAACGGAUAAAAAUUACGAUGUGUUGUUCUGUAAUAAACAAAAAGUUGUUUACGGACUGUGUUUUAGGAGUCAGGAUCUGGAGGCUCGGAGUUCAGGACUCGGUCCAGUGUGUGUGUGUGUGUGUGUGUGUGUGUGUGUGUGUGUGUGUGUGUUAGUGCAUUAGAACCCCUGAUCUGCGCUGGACCUUCGGGUCCUCUGCGUAAACACAGCUGCAUUGUGAUCUGGAGGCUGAGGGGCGACACCUUCAGCACCUAAACACACACACCUUUGUUUUCAGGCGUCUGAGACAAAGCACUCGGUCAGUGGAGGAGAUAAUCAGAUUUACUGAGAUCAGAUAAACAUCUCAGUAUCCUGACCUCACACACACACACACACACACACACACACACACACACACACACACACACCUGGUCUGAUCUGUAAUACAAACCUGCGAUAACAUUCAUCAGGCUUUCAUGGCGGUUCUGUCUGAUACACACCAUGUUGUUGAGUCUGAUGUUCAGUCUGAUGCUGAGUCUGAUGUUCAGUCUGAUGUUCAGUCUGAUGCUGAGUCUGAUGUUCAGUCUGAUGUUCAGUCUGAUGCUGAGUCUGAUGUUCAGUCUGAUGCUGAGUCUGAUGUUCAGUCUGAUGUCCAGUCUGAUGUUGACAGAUUGAUGCACAUUGAAAGUUUUUAGGUUAUUGUUCUAAAAAUAAAGAAAACCUUUUCUCUUUAUUAUUUGUUUGUUUGUUUGUUUGUUAUGUCAUCCUGUGUUUACUACAACACUGCGGAG
Molecule: long non-coding RNA, 4836 nt
Organism: Ictalurus punctatus (channel catfish)
Lineage: Eukaryota; Metazoa; Chordata; Actinopteri; Siluriformes; Ictaluridae
Source: Ensembl